AAAGGCCGGGAUCUUCGGACCGGUCACUAUUGGAUGAGCCUGCGUAAGAUUAGCUAGUUGGUGGGGUAAAGGCCUACCAAGGCGACGAUCCGUAGCUGGUCUGAGAGGAUGAUCAGCCACAUCGGGACUGAGACACGGCCCGAACUCCUACGGGAGGCAGCAGUGGGGAAUAUUGGACAAUGGGGGAAACCCUGAUCCAGCAAUGCCGCGUGAGUGAUGAAGGCCUUAGGGUUGUAAAGCUCUUUUACCCGGGAUGAUAAUGACAGUACCGGGAGAAUAAGCUCCGGCUAACUCCGUGCCAGCAGCCGCGGUAAUACGGAGGAUCCAAGCGUUAUCCGGAAUCAUUGGGUUUAAAGGGUCCGUAGGCGGGCAAUUAAGUCAGUGGUGAAAGUCUGUAGCUCAACUAUAGAAUUGCCUUUGAUACUGAUUGUCUUGAGUUAUAGUGAAGUUGCCGGAAUAUGUAGUGUAGCGGUGAAAUGCAUAGAUAUUACUUAGAAUACC
This 501-nucleotide ribosomal RNA is filed under the name Oxyrrhis marina. Its description in RNAcentral is "partial Bacterial small subunit ribosomal RNA". It matches the Rfam family "Bacterial small subunit ribosomal RNA", at positions 202 to 710 of the family's 1533-position model. The record is from RNAcentral. Lineage: Eukaryota; Dinophyceae; Oxyrrhinales; Oxyrrhinaceae.